UAAAAAUAAGAAGAUGUGGUAUGAGUACCAAUGAGACAACUCUUAAUCAAAGUCACAAUGUAAGUAUGGACGGAAAAGUAACUGCAAUUAUAUGAUAUGCAUUGUUCUUUUCAAUUUGAAAGAAUUACAUUACGAAUGUUAAGUAGAAUCCGUACUUCUCAUUGGCUGAUAACCAUCUACAGUCAUUCGAAAAUUAUAUUU
This 201-nucleotide long non-coding RNA is filed under the name Mytilus galloprovincialis (Mediterranean mussel). The record is from RNAcentral. Lineage: Eukaryota; Metazoa; Mollusca; Bivalvia; Mytilida; Mytilidae.